ACCUCGCAGGAGUGGAUAUUCUUCAUUUCCUCCGGGAUCCUCAUUGCUGGGGUGCUCAUGUAAGUGCAGUCCUUGCGAAGUUUCUUAAGGGGGAACUGUGAUAUGGGAAUAAAAAUUGUUCCUUUUGGCGCCAUCUUUUGCUCGUUGUCGUCAAUAUUGUGUACUAUCCAAAGCUGCAAUAACAUGAAGUAUUAGCAUGAAUAUAAGCUGC
Molecule: small RNA, 211 nt
Filed under: Oryza sativa Japonica Group (Japanese rice)
Lineage: Eukaryota; Viridiplantae; Streptophyta; Magnoliopsida; Poales; Poaceae
Description: sRNA Os02g0621350
Source: RNAcentral